GAAACCGCUUCUCCAGCCCCCUGAUGAAAAUGGCAGGCCACUGGGGGUAGGCUUUUCUGCUUUCAAGUGUCCUUGGAGCCUUCAGCACCUGUGUCUCCUCUGAAGCCCUGACACCUCUCUGUGUGGCACCACUGAGCCUCAUUACUGCUGCCUCCUUGAUCUGAAAACUUAAUGCUUGAGCCUCUUCUCAAUAGGAAUUUAACCUAUGCUCUCUGAAGGAAAGUUUUGCUGAGAAAAUAGAGGGUCAUGAAGAAGGUCAAUGAUCUUCACUCCUCACCAGAAUCCAGCUGUCCUUCAGGCUUUCUGUAUCGCGUCAGCUGCAUCGUCAGUUAGGGUAGAGUUAUCUCUAGCUUUGAAUAAACACCCAGCCAGGUUCCUCUUAGAAACACCUUGUCACAGCUUACUUUGGGUUCACCACUGGGCUUCUUGAAGAUAGCUUGAUUAAUUCAUAGUGGCAGCCCCACCACCCAGUCACCUGAAACGAGAGGAUUUACUGUACCAGUUUACCGCUAAGCCAUGUCAGGUGAGAAGCGGGAAACUCUAGCCCAUCUGUUGCAAGGAACAAAAUAACAACGGCACAUCCACAGAGCAGACACUUUAUACUGCUGCAUAAUAAGGAGCCGCUGAAUGCAGUGACCUCGGCUGAGGUAGCCAUGGGUUCAGCCACCCACUCUCUGCUUCUCUGGGGAGCUAGCCUGCUUAGAUUUGUGGCUUUCUGUCCCCUGAGGAGAACCCUGGAGGGUCGGGGCCCCUGAACUUCAACAUUGCUCCUGUCCUGGCCACUCUCAGACUUUCUCUUCCAGCUUCGGCUGCAUUCAUAAUUUUCUAACUAUCUUUAUGCCACAGCAAAUGUUCCUAGGCAGAAUGUCCAGACUCAUGGGGACCCUUCUCAUCAGCCAGUCCCAUCAGCCUAGAAUUUCCCAGAUCAGUUGUAUGGGCCUUGUCAUAACAACCCGUCACCUUGGAGGACAGGGAGAAUUGAAGGCCUAGGACAGAGCCAGGUGGCUCUCCUGGUGGUUUUCCAUGACGAUGAAGGACUGGCCUUUUGCUUUGCUCAGGAGUGAGCUGACAGCUCUUUUUGAUUUGAAGCUUCCGUUCAGAACUCAGCAGGGGUUCUCCGUCCUCGCAACACUCUAGUUAGGCAAUUGCUCAUAAACUCUUCUCCAGCCCGGACAGGCCACUCAAAUCAAGUAGCAACAGAACCUUCCAAGAGAAGCCUUUGAAGACAGACUGUUGAGGCUGGCCGUCGAUGUGUGAGGCCAGGACAGACCUGUGAUGAACUUCUUUCCCAUGAUGCCCUGCUGCCGAGGCCCGCUCUGCCAAUCUGCCAGCCUCCUCGCAGGGAAACUCCGUCAGAAACAAGGAAAACGUGAGAAACUGUCACAGCCAAGACGAGGCUGAGGAGACAACAAUGAAAAGCAAUGUGCCUGGAUGGGCUCCUGGAACAGAAGAAGGGCAUUAAGUAAAAACUAGUGAAAUCUGAGUCACGUGUGGAGUUCAGUUAAUAAUCUAUCAAUAUUGAUUCAUUAGUUGUGAUUCAUUAACAUGGCAACAUAACAAUGGGAGAAACUGGUUGCUGGGCACACAGAAACUCUUUACUACCUGGCAACUUUUCAUUAAAUCUAAAACUAUUCUAGAACAUACAGCUUAUUUAAAAUACAGGUGUACAGAUGUAUAGACAGUGGCGGCCGGCCUUGCGAGAAGCAGGCCCUGG
This is a long non-coding RNA of Equus caballus (horse), 1714 nucleotides long. Lineage: Eukaryota; Metazoa; Chordata; Mammalia; Perissodactyla; Equidae. The record is from Ensembl.